This 254-nucleotide ribosomal RNA is filed under the name uncultured bacterium. Its description in RNAcentral is "partial 16S ribosomal RNA". It matches the Rfam family "Bacterial small subunit ribosomal RNA", at positions 524 to 776 of the family's 1533-position model. The record is from RNAcentral.
UACGUAGGGGGCGAGCGUUAAUCGGAAUUACUGGGCGUAAAGCGUGCGCAGGCGGUCUGUUAAGACCGAUGUGAAAUCCCCGGGCUUAACCUGGGAACUGCAUUGGUGACUGGCAGGCUUUGAGUGUGGCAGAGGGAGGUAGAAUUCCACGUGUAGCAGUGAAAUGCGUAGAGAUGUGGAGGAACACCGAUGGCGAAGGCAGCCCCCUGGGCCAAUACUGACGCUCAUGCACGAAAGCGUGGGGAGCAAACAGG